This is a long non-coding RNA of Archocentrus centrarchus (flier cichlid), 1185 nucleotides long. RefSeq lists it as uncharacterized. The transcript has 5 exons. Lineage: Eukaryota; Metazoa; Chordata; Actinopteri; Cichliformes; Cichlidae. The record is from RefSeq and is a predicted model, not a curated record.
CCCAAGAUGAAGAACUUCUUGCCAAACGUUAAUGUCAGAAAAUACGGCACCUAUGUUGCAGUGGUUGUGAUUUUUGUUCACAAUUAUGUGAUUGACAGGGAUGUACCGUGCACUUGCAAAGAAGGCGAUGGAGUGAUCUGCGGUUUAUAUGUGUUUAUGCCUUUCUUCAUUUUAUUGAUUUUACAACUCUGGACAGACGAGAAAUUUCAGAGAAUCUUCAAGUAUUCAUAUACAUGUGACAUGAAUUGUGAAGAUAAAUGGCGCUGUAGUUGCAGAUUUUUCAUGGUUUUACUUUAUCAGAUUAUGAAGGCUUUUUGCGUUGGUCUGCUUUGGGUGUUGGCCGUGUUAAUUGAUGGCGACUGGUACAUUUGCUGUAAUAUUAGCUAUGAUCAGACUUAUACAGACUUGGCCUGCAAAAAUGAAAAAACAUGUCGACAGAAAGAAAAUUGCAGAGAUGAAAAUUUCCUCCAUGGAAAUUGGCAUGGGUGUACUUUUAGGCGGCGUUUUUUGCGUUGCCUUGGGAACAGCAUUUGGAUGCAGAAACUGCCCGAGUUGUUGUGCUGGAAAACUUCUAUAUGAGGACGUGGUUUUGGAGGAGGGGGGGCAGUGUACGGACAGAGAUUUUAAGAAAAGCAGCUAAAAAGCAACUGAUCAAUCAAAUGUUGCAGACAUGUGACAAUAAAGACUGGGAGACAUUUUUGGAUGCUGCUGAUACUGUUCUGGAAAACAUCGAGCACACUGAUCAACAGAAGGAUGGAAAGAAGAUUCAACUGCAAACUCAAACAGUGACUCAACAGGUAACUAUAAGACCUGAACCGCUGAAACAAUUCACAGGUGAAGAAUGUCACGAAAUGACUGAGAUGGGCAGCAGUCAGCGAGGAAAAAAAGAACGAGAUGGACAGAAACAGGUACUGUCCACUGUGUCCACAACAGAAUGAGCAACAAGUGCUCAUGAUGCUCCACAACAAAACUGAUAUGUUCAUAAUCAAGCAGUGGAGGCCACAGAGAUGUUCAAUCUGUGGUAACAACAGUGGCUCAAAAUACGAGCAACCCAAACACCUGCAUAACCAUGCUGGAGUGAUCAUCAAACACCAUAAUAUACAUUAAUGUUGUUAUUAUUAUAAUCAUAACAAUAAUUAUUAUGUUAUUAAUUGUUUAAUUUUUUCAAAUUUUCAUCAAAUUGGA